Molecule: unclassified non-coding RNA, 369 nt
Filed under: uncultured fungus
Lineage: Eukaryota; Fungi
Description: partial contains 5.8S ribosomal RNA and internal transcribed spacer 2
Rfam family: 5.8S ribosomal RNA (bases 1-133)
Source: RNAcentral
UGGCUCUCGCAUCGAUGAAGAACGCAGCGAAAUGCGAUAAGUAAUGUGAAUUGCAGAAUUCAGUGAAUCAUCGAAUCUUUGAACGCACCUUGCGCCCUUUGGUAUUCCGAAGGGCACACCUGUUUGAGUGUCAUGUUAACCUCAAUUCAUCAGCUUUGCGGCUGCUUGGAUUGGAUUUGGAAGUCUGCUGGCCCCUCUUGGGGUUGGCUCUUCUUGAAUGCAUGAGUGAGCAUCUGGCUCGCGUUGCUGAUGUGAUAGUCUUUCAUCAUUGGCUGCGCUUGUCUAACGGGCUUGCUUUCGAACCGUCUUCUCAAUGGAGACAACGUUUUUGACAUUUUUGACCUCAAAUCAGGUGGGACUACCCGCUGA